Molecule: ribosomal RNA, 500 nt
Filed under: uncultured bacterium
Lineage: Bacteria
Description: partial 16S ribosomal RNA
Rfam family: Bacterial small subunit ribosomal RNA
Source: RNAcentral
AUUGAACGCUGGCGGAAUGCUUUACACAUGCAAGUCGAACGGCAGCACGGACUUCGGUCUGGUGGCGAGUGGCGAACGGGUGAGUAAUACAUCGGAACGUGCCCAGUCGUGGGGGAUAACGUAGCGAAAGCUACGCUAAUACCGCAUACGAUCUAAGGAUGAAAGCGGGGGAUCGCAAGACCUCGCGCGAUUGGAGCGGCCGAUGGCAGAUUAGGUAGUUGGUAGGGUAAAGGCCUACCAAGCCGACGAUCUGUAGCUGGUCUGAGAGGAUGAUCAGCCACACUGGGACGGAGACACGGCCCAGACUCCUACGGGAGGCAGCAGUGGGGAAUUUUGGACAAUGGGCGCAAGCCUGAUCCAGCCAUUCCGCGUGCAGGAUGAAGGCCUUCGGGUUGUAAACUGCUUUUGUACAGAACGAAAAGGCUCUGGUUAAUACCCGGGGCUCAUGACGGUACUGUAAGAAUAAGCACCGGCUAACUACGUGCCAGCCGCCGCCGUAA